GUUGUGAUGAUGUGUCUCCUCAACAUAAAUUGGCUGUGGACCAUACAGUCCACAUGGAGAAAGAGCAACUCAUCAUCAGCUAUAGAAGAGCAAAGAUGCCAUUUAUAAAUUACUACUUCCA
Molecule: long non-coding RNA, 121 nt
Organism: Molossus molossus (Pallas's mastiff bat)
Lineage: Eukaryota; Metazoa; Chordata; Mammalia; Chiroptera; Molossidae
Exons: 3
Source: RefSeq, a predicted model, not a curated record